This 2036-nucleotide ribosomal RNA is filed under the name Rhodomonas sp. RNAcentral describes it as "partial 23S ribosomal RNA". It matches the Rfam family "Bacterial large subunit ribosomal RNA", at positions 397 to 2461 of the family's 2925-position model. The record is from RNAcentral. Lineage: Eukaryota; Cryptophyceae; Pyrenomonadales; Pyrenomonadaceae.
UUAGCUGUAUCCCGAGUAGCAUGGGACACGUGAAACCCCGUGUGAAUCUGCGAGGACCACCUCGUAAGGCUAAAUAUUCCUGAAUGACCGAUAGCGAAUUAGUACCGUGAGGGAAAGGUGAAAAGAACCCCGGAAGGGGAGUGAAAUAGAACAUGAAAGCUUAAGCUUACAAGCAGUGGAAGAACGACUAAACGUUUGACCUCGUUCCUGUUGAAGAAUGAGCCGGCGACUUGUAGGCAGUGGCAGGUUAAGGUAGGAAAUACUGGAGCCAGAGUGAAAGCGAGCCUUAAUAGGGCGACAGUCACUGUUUACAGACCCGAACCCGGAUGAUCUAACCAUGGCCAGUGUGAAGCUUAGGUAACACUAAGUGGAGGCGCGAACCGACUGAUGUUGAAAAAUCAGCGGAUGAGUUGUGGUUAGGGGUGAAAUGCCAAUCGAAUCCGGAGCUAGCUGGUUCUCCCCGAAAUGCGUUUAGGCGCAGCGGUUAACGCUAUAGCUUAGGGGUAAAGCACUGUUUCGGUGCGGGCUGCUAACGCGGUACCAAAUCGAUGCAAACUCUGAAUACUAAGUGUGUAGUUAACCAGUAAGACUGUGGGGGAUAAGCUCCAUUGUCAAGAGGGAAACAGCCCAGACCACCAGCUAAGGCCCCCAAAUAAUUGCUAAGUGAUAAAGGAUGUGGGAAUGCUGAGACAAUCAGGAGGUUCGCCUAGAAGCAGCUAUCCUUUAAAGAGUGCGUAAUAGCUCACUGAUCAAGCGCACCUGCGCCGAAAAUGAACGGGACUAAGUAAUUUGCCGAAGCUGUGGGAUUUUUAAUAAUCGGUAGGGGAGCGUUCUACCUUAGAUAGAAGCAUUAGCGGAAGCGGAUGUGGACGAAGUAGAAGUGAGAAUGUCGGCUUGAGUAGCGAAAACAUUGGUGAGAAUCCAAUGCCCCGAAAACCUAAGGUUUCCUCCGGAAGGCUCGUCCGCGGAGGGUGAGUCAGGACCUAAGGUGAGGCCGAAAGGCGUAGCCGAUGGACAACGGGUUAAUAUUCCCGUACCAUCUAUUAUUGAUACCGAGGGACGGAGAAGGCUAAACCAUCCGGAUGUUGGUUACCGGUUUAAGCGUUCAAGGUGUAGAGAGACGGAGAAAACGUCUUGAGCUAAAGCGCGAAUACGAAGUACUAAGGUACUGAAGUGGUUGAUGUCAUACUUCCAAGAAAAGCUCGAAAUAUCUUAAAUAAUAGAUGCCUGUACCCGAAACCGACACAGGUAGGUAGGUAGAGUAUACCAAGGGGCGCGAGAUAACUCUCUCUAAGGAACUCGGCAAAAUUACCUCGUAACUUCGGAAGAAGAGGUACCCUUGCAAAAGGGUUGCAAUAAAUAGGCCCUGGCGACUGUUUACCAAAAACACAGGUCUCCGCUAAUUCGUAAGAUUAAGUAUGGGGGCUGACGCCUGCCCAGUGCCGGAAGGUUAAGGAAGUUGGUUAGUCUUUGACGAAGCUGGCGACCGAAGCCCCGGUGAACGGCGGCCGUAACUAUAACGGUCCUAAGGUAGCGAAAUUCCUUGUCGGGUAAGUUCCGACCCGCACGAAAGGCGUAACGAUCAGGGUGCUGUCUCGGAGAGAGGCUCGGCGAAAUAGACAUGUCUGUGAAGAUGCGGACUACCUGCACCUGGACAGAAAGACCCUAUGAAGCUUUACUGUAUCUUGGAAUUGGGUUUGGGCUUUGCUUGCGCAGGAUAGGUGGGAGGCUUUGAAGAUAUUCUUGCGGGAAUGUUGGAGCCACUGGUGAGAUACCACUCUAGUAAGGCUAAAAUUCUAACUUCGAACCGUUAUCCGGUCGAGGAACAGUUUCAGGUGGGCAGUUUGACUGGGGCGGUCGCCUCCCAAAAGGUAACGGAGGCGUGCAAAGGUUCCCUCAGGCUGGUCGGACAUCAGUCGUAGAGUGUAAAGGCAUAAGGGAGCUUGACUGCGAGACCUACAAGUCGAGCAGAGACGAAAGUCGGCCUUAGUGAUCCGACGGUUCCGAGUGGAAGGGCCGUCGCUCAACGGAUAAAA